RNAcentral lists this ribosomal RNA (3100 nucleotides) under metagenomes. Its description in RNAcentral is "bacterial LSU rRNA". It matches the Rfam family "Bacterial large subunit ribosomal RNA". The record is from RNAcentral.
AAAGGUACAUAAGGGCACUGAUAGUGGAUGCCUUGACAAUCAAUACCGAAGAAGGACGUAGGACUCUGCGAUAAGCCUCGGGGAUCUGAGAACGAGAGUUGAUCCGGGGAUUUCCGAAUGGGGAAACCUAGCACAAGUCAUGUUGUGUUGCAUUUACCUGAACACAUAGGGUAAAUAGACGGGAACCAGCCGAACUGAAUCAUCUUAGUAGGUUGAGGAAAAGAGAAUAACCAAUGAUUCCGAAAGUAGUGGCGAGCGAAAUUGGAACAGCCCAAACCUUAACAUAACCAUACGGUUUAACGGCCAGAGUUAUGAAAGGGGUUGCGAAAUAAGAUAAUUUAUAUGUUGAACAUUUCUAUAUGGAAUGUUUAGCAUAUAAACCAACAGCGUUAACUGAGUGGAUAAUGAUACAAUUCCAUCAAAUCGUAGCGGAAAUACCUGGAAUGGUAUGCCAAAGAAGGUGAAAGCCCUGUAUGCGAAACGGUUUGAGGCAUUAUAUAUCUUUUUUCAAUUAGGACGGGGCACGAGAAACCCUGUUUGAAUCUGGCAGGACCACCUGCCAAGGCUAAAUAUAUUGAUUGAUCGAUAGCGAACUAGUACAGUGAUGGAAAGGUGAAAAGAACCCCGGGAGGGGAGUGAAAUAGAUCCUGAAACUCAGUGCCUACAAGGUGUCGGAGCAGCGCUUGCGCUGUGACGGCGUGCUUUUUGUAGAACGAUCCAGCGAGUUAAUGUUGUCGGCGAGGCUAAGUCAGUUGAUGGAGCCACAGUGAAAGCGAGCCUGAAUAGGGCGACAAGUCGGCAGUAUUAGACCCGAAACCGGGUGACCUAACCAUGAGCAGGUUGAAGCUGCGGUAACACGCAGUGGAGGACCGAACCAGGGUACGCAGUAAAGUGCUUGGAUGACUUGUGGUUAGCGGUGAAAUGCCAAUCGAACUCGGAGAUAGCUGGUUCUCCUCGAAAUAGCUUUAGGGCUAGCGUUGUGUAGUAGCACAUGGGGGUAGAGCUCUGAAAGGGUUUGGGGCCGGCAACGGUACCCACCCCUAUCAAACUACGAAUACCAUGUGUGUAAUCACGGCAGUCAGAACGGCGGGGCUAAGCUCGUCGCUCAAAAGGGAAACAGCCCAGAUCAUCGUCUAAGGUCCCUAAUUAACACUAAGUGGGAAACAAGGUGAAGUUUCUUAAACAGCUAGGAUGUUGGCUUAGAAGCAGCCAUUCAUUUAAAGAGUGCGUAACAGCUCACUAGUCAAGAGAUUUUGCGUGGAAAAUGUAACGGGGCUAAGUGUUAAACCGAAGACAUGGGAUUCUACUUUAGUAGGAUCGGUAGAGGAGCGUUGAUAUUGCGGUGAAGUCAGAUUGUAAAGUCUGGUGGAGCGUUAUCAAGUGAGAAUGCUGGAAUCAGUAACCAUAAGACAGGUGAGAAUCCUGUCGGUCGUAAGAGCAAGGUUUCCAGGGCUACAGUAAUUGUCCCUGGGUUAGUCGGUCCUAAGCCGAGGCGCAUCAGCGUAGGCGAUGGACAACAGGUUAAUAUUCCUGUACAGGUAGUAGUUGUUAACAGUUCACGGCGAAUGACUAGAGCGGAUUAAUGGUUUAUCCGUCCAAGGUUUUAGGGAACUAAAAUUGAGUGAAAGGUAUUCUUCGGAAUAUCGAUUCUAGGUGAAGCGCUGGCUAGAAAAGCUGGUUAACUUAUGCUGCUGCCUACCGUACCGCAAACCAACACAGGUGCUCGGGUCGAGUAGACCAAGACCUACGAGAGAACCUUCGCUAAGGAACUCGGCAAAAAAGCGUCCGUAACUUCGGAAUAAGGACUGCCCCAUCAUUAAGAUGAGGAUUUGCCAAAGAGUUUUCUCGGCGGAAACGAGAAAAUGGUCAAUUUUGUACCAAAUAAAUAUCGAUUUCUUCUUGUCGAGACACACUUAACUCUUUGAGCAGCUCAAUCGUCAUUUUGAUGAUGGGGCCGCAGCUAAAGAGCCCACGGAACUGUUUACCAAAAACAUAGGUCUCUGCUAACGCGAAAGCGGAUGUAUAGGGGCUGACUCCUGCCCAGUGUCGGAAGGUUAAGGGGAGAACUUCACGGUUCGAACUGAAGCCCCGAUGAACGGCGGCGAUAACUAUGAUCGUCCUAAGGUAGCGAAAUUCCUUGUCUGGUAAGUUCAGACCUGCACGAAUGGAGUAAUCAUGUGGGCACUGUCUCGGCGAAGGCCUCGGUGAACGUGCAUUGGCGGUAAAGAUGCCGUCUGAUCAUGCCAGGACGAGAAGACCCCAUGGAGCUUUACUACAACUUUGCAUUGAUUAUUGGGACAUUUUGUGUAGCAUAGGUGGAAGACUUUGAAGCAGAUACGCUAGUAUUUGUGGAGUCGUAGGUGAAAUACCACCCUGAGUGUUUUAGUAAUCUCACGCUUGACAUUAACUGCCAAGCGGACCGUGCAUGGCGGGUAGUUUAACUGGGGCGGUUGCCUCCUAAAGAGUAGCGGAGGCGUUCAAAGGUUGGCUAACUACGGAUGGAAAUCGUAGUGAUAGUGUAUGCGCAAAAGCCAGCUUGACUGUGAGGGCCACAACCCAAUCAGACACGAAAGUGGGAGCAAAUGACCCGCUGUAUAGAACUUCGGUUCAAUUUACGUGGGAAAGACAGCGCACACGGAUAAAAGUUACCCUGGGGAUAACAGGCUGAUCGCGCCCAAUAGUUCACAUAGACGGCGCGGUUUGGCACCUCGAUGUCGGCUCAUCACAUCCUGGAGGGGGAGCACCUUCCAAGGGUCCGGCUGUUCGCCGGUUAAAGUGGUACGCGAGCUGGGUUCAGAACGUCGUGAGACAGUUCGGUUUAUAUCCGGCAUGAUCGUUAGGAAUUUUGAGGAGAUUUGCCUCUAGUACGAGAGGACCGAGGUGAACGAACCUCUAGUGUAUCGGUUGUGGCCACCUGCUGCAUUGCCGAGUAGCUAUGUUCGGAAGAGAUAAGCGCUGAAAGCAUAUUAAGCGCGAAGCCCACUCCAAGAUAAGAAUUCCCUAUGGAGACUCCAGAGAGAUGAUCUGGUUGAUAGGCGCAAGGUGGAAGCACGGCAACGUGUGGAGCCGAAGCGUACUAAUAGGUCCAUUGCCUUUUUAU